Capsicum annuum is the source of this 516-nucleotide long non-coding RNA. RefSeq lists it as uncharacterized. The record is from RefSeq and is a predicted model, not a curated record. Lineage: Eukaryota; Viridiplantae; Streptophyta; Magnoliopsida; Solanales; Solanaceae. The transcript is spliced from 2 exons.
UUUUCCUACUCUCACGCGUCUCUUUCUCUUUCCCUACUCUCACACGUCUCUUUCUUUUUCUGAGAAAUCAGUUCACGCGUAUUGCUCCCCUCCCCAAAAAGAACAAUGAGUCUCUUUCAACUUUCCCAAAUUCAGCACAAAUCAAUUGACCCUUCCCCUUCUCUAUUCACCACCUCUUCUCCACCACCCCAAGAUAACAAACCCUGGUCGCUUCCACUGUAGAGCACUGUCAUUUAUUUUGGCGGUGCUUCGAUGACGUCGUUGAAGCGAUGCCACCCCCUACUGUUCGCUUUCAUCGUGAUGCUGAAAACUUAAUUUUCAUCAUCAUGAUUUAUUCAGUUGGUCUUUCUUAUUGUUGAAAUUAUUUAUGUUUCGUCAUGUACGAUUUUGUGUGCUACUAAUUUCUCGUGAAUUUCGUCUUCUCCGACGAACUUGGUCAUUGACUAUUGCUCUUUGUGUUAUUGUCUGGAUUGUCUUUUGAAGUUUGUUUGAUAAUUUCAUAUCUUGCUUUUGCUA